RNAcentral lists this ribosomal RNA (468 nucleotides) under uncultured bacterium. RNAcentral's name for it is "partial 16S ribosomal RNA". It matches the Rfam family "Bacterial small subunit ribosomal RNA", at positions 28 to 507 of the family's 1533-position model. The record is from RNAcentral.
GACGAACGCUGGCGGCGUGCUUAACACAUGCAAGUCGAACGGAAAGGCCCUGCUUUUGUGGGGUGCUCGAGUGGCGAACGGGUGAGUAACACGUGAGUAACCUGCCCUUGACUUUGGGAUAACUUCAGGAAACUGGGGCUAAUACCGGAUAGGAGCUCCUGCUGCAUGGUGGGGGUUGGAAAGUUUCGGCGGUUGGGGAUGGACUCGCGGCUUAUCAGCUUGUUGGUGGGGUAGUGGCUUACCAAGGCUUUGACGGGUAGCCGGCCUGAGAGGGUGACCGGCCACAUUGGGCCUGGGGUACGGCCCAGACUCCUACGGGGGGCAGCAGGGGGGAAUAUUGCACAAUGGGGGGAAGCCUGAUGCAGCAACGCCGCGUGCGGGAUGACGGCCUUCGGGUUUGAAACCGCUUUCGCCUGUGACGAAGCGGGAGUGACGGUAAUGGGUAAAGAAGCACCGGCUAACUACGUG